Long non-coding RNA from Limulus polyphemus (Atlantic horseshoe crab), 970 nucleotides. RefSeq lists it as uncharacterized. Lineage: Eukaryota; Metazoa; Arthropoda; Merostomata; Xiphosura; Limulidae. The record is from RefSeq and is a predicted model, not a curated record. The transcript has 3 exons.
UUUGUAUUUCACUUGGCCUAUAAUUAUGUUCAGAAGUUUUAUAAACUUAUAUUGGUAAUAUCUAAAGACAUUUUACAAAAUGCUUGAACGUUUCUAGGGAUUAUUAAACAUCGGGUAGUAAAACUCAACCAGAAGACGAUGAAGCUAACCCUAAAAGAAGAGUAGACAAGAUAUUUGAACAGCUUGACAAGAAUCAAGACAACAAACUGUCAAUGGAGGAAUUCCAGGAAGGAUCCAAACAAGACCCGAAGAUAGUCCAAGCCCUGUCUUUGUAUGGCUCGUGAUUUUUGUUGUUUCUAUCAGUUUUCAUCCUCUGCUUGUAAGAUUAUAGUUUUUGGUGACGUGAACAUUCCAAAUUCACUACAGUGAUCAAUAACUUUAGUUUCCUUUUAUGAUCUUGGUUUUCUCCAUCAGUUCAUAUUCUUGAUAUUCUAAUACAGAUUUGGUUUCUUCUAGAAACGUAAAUCAAUUUCAUUCCACUCGGUAUUCCUUUGUCUUGAUUCCAUAAUUCAAAAUGUUACACUAGGGUCCUUUGUUGCUCAGACAAACUGAUAAAUUAUUAACAAUCUGUAACUAUAAAAAUAAAAAGCCUUAGAAUAAAGCUUGCAGUCACUCUUAACUUAUAAGUUUCUAAACAACAACGGGAACAGUUUCCAAAAUGUUAUCGGUAUGUAGUCCAACACUAUUAGACAGGAUAAUUAAACAAAAAGAAAUAGAUUUAAUCAUAUAGUUUAAUACAAUCAGCAUUUCAAAUUUUUAACAUUAGUUAACUUUGUUAUGAUAUAAUUUAAAUAUCUUAACAUGUUCAUGCAACCUUUUUGCAAUUCCCUGAGCAUGUACAUUUCAAGUUUUUAAUCUCUUUUUUCUGUUUGUAUGAAAUGUUUUUUGUUUUUUUUUGUACAGUGGCAUGACGAUGUGUAUCAAAGAGUUUCUUAAACCUGUUGUUUAAUAAAGAUUCGUACAAUAUUCA